GAUGAACGCUAGCGGCAGGCUUAACACAUGCAAGUCGAGGGGUAACAUUGUAGCUUGCUACAGAUGACGACCGGCGCACGGGUGCGUAACGCGUAUAGAACCUACCUUUUACAGAGGGAUAGCCUUUAGAAAUGAAGAUUAAUACCUUAUAGUAUUGCGAUUUGGCAUCAAGUUGUAAUUAAAGAUUUAUCGGUAAAAGAUGGCUAUGCGUCCUAUUAGUUAGAUGGUAAGGUAACGGCUUACCAUGACAUCGAUAGGUAGGGGUCCUGAGAGGGAGAUCCCCCACACUGGUACUGAGACACGGACCAGACUCCUACGGGAGGCAGCAGUGAGGAAUAUUGGGCAAUGGAGGCAACUCUGACCCAGCCAUGCCGCGUGCAGGAAGACGGCCCUAUGGGUUGUAAACUGCUUUUAUACAGGAAGAAACACUAGUACGUGUACUAGCUUGACGGUACUGUAAGAAUAAGGACCGGCUAACUCCGUGCCAGCAGCCGCGGUAAUACGGAGGGUCCGAGCGUUAUCCGGAAUCAUUGGGUUUAAAGGGUCCGCAGGCGGUCAAUUAAGUCAGAGGUGAAAUACCAUAGCUCAACUAUGGAACUGCCUUUGAUACUGGUUGACUUGAGUCAUAUGGAAGUAGAUAGAAUGUGUAGUGUAGCGGUGAAAUGCAUAGAUAUUACACAGAAUACCGAUUGCGAAGGCAGUCUACUACGUAUGUACUGACGCUGAGGGACGAAAGCGUGGGGAGCGAACAGGAUUAGAUACCCUGGUAGUCCACGCCGUAAACGAUGGAUACUAGUUGUUGGGCAUUAGCUCAGUGACUAAGCGAAAGUGAUA
RNAcentral lists this ribosomal RNA (834 nucleotides) under uncultured Polaribacter sp. RNAcentral describes it as "bacterial SSU rRNA". It matches the Rfam family "Bacterial small subunit ribosomal RNA", at positions 28 to 862 of the family's 1533-position model. The record is from RNAcentral. Lineage: Bacteria; Pseudomonadati; Bacteroidota; Flavobacteriia; Flavobacteriales; Flavobacteriaceae.